CCCUUAGAUGUUCUGGGCCGCACGCGCGCUACACUGAUGCACUCAACGAGUCUAAAACCUGCUCUGAUAGGGGUGGGUAAUCUUUUGAAUGUGCAUCGUGAUUGGGAUAGAUGAUUGCAAUUUUUCAUCUUCAACGAGGAAUGCCUAGUAAACGCAAGUCAUCAGCUUGCAUUGAUUACGUCCCUGCCCUUUGUACACACCGCCCGUCGCUCCUACCGAUUGAAUGAUCCGAUGAAUAUCAUGGAUUGAGGAUGCAAGUAGGUUAGCCUAUCUUCAUCUUCGAGAAGUGAAGUAAAUCUUAUCAUUUAGAGGAAGGAGAAGUCGUAACA
RNAcentral lists this ribosomal RNA (329 nucleotides) under uncultured eukaryote. RNAcentral's name for it is "partial 18S ribosomal RNA". It matches the Rfam family "Eukaryotic small subunit ribosomal RNA", at positions 1470 to 1796 of the family's 1831-position model. The record is from RNAcentral.